This 1786-nucleotide long non-coding RNA is filed under the name Homo sapiens (human). RNAcentral's name for it is "non-protein coding lnc-GADD45B-1:2". Lineage: Eukaryota; Metazoa; Chordata; Mammalia; Primates; Hominidae. The record is from RNAcentral.
AAAGGGAGAGUGAGGCUUUUUAUUGUGUAUGAAUUCACGUGGUAUCGACAACUCCACACAAUAUUAAAACACUGCGAGAAAGUGGGUGCGGCACACCUGGAAUUUUAAAAAAGUCAGAAAUAAAAACAACCAGACAUCCCAAUGCAGAUGGCAUAGAACCUGCUAGAACCACAGGCGGCGGCUGGAAACAGGAGACAGGUCUUUACGAAGGUUAGAUGGGCAGCGGUUCCGUGGACAGAGGAGGAGGCGCGGCUGGCCGGCAUAUGGCUUCUGUGCAGAGGGCCUGGCCUCAGGCCGUGGACUUUUUAAUAAGUGAGGACACACCAGUGGGGCCGGGCUUGGCACAGCUGUGCCCCCUCCUCCCUCUGCCCUGGCAGCGGGGGCUCGGGGAUUAAGGCCUCUUUUAAGGAAAAACGGGGUGGGGUGUGUUUGUUCCCAGUUACCAAGAUGGCUUGUUGGAAAGGGUGGAGGCAGGCGGGCUCUCCCUGCCUGGGGUCCUCCCAGGGUCUCUGGAACAGGCUUUUGUCCCUUCCUGCCAUUCCUGCUAUGCGUGGUGGGGACGCCCACACCCCAAACCCUGCCGGCUCCCAGCCCAACCACAGGAGGCUGCAGUCUCCGGGAGCCUCUGGGGCUCUCCCGGGCCAACAGCAGGUUUGGCGGGUAGGGCUCCCCGAAGCCCCAGCCCUCCCGGACCUGCCGUAGAGAGCUGGGUGCCGGGGGUGGGGAGCCCGGCUGUGGCCUGUGGGAGCUGCCCGAGGUUGAGGAGUGGAGGUCACUCCCCCGACACCUGCACACACACCCGGAGCCCUCUAGCCUUGGCGAGGUGGGAACCCUGGCAGUCACCAGCUCAGGAAGUGAGCCAAGCAGGGAUCCCCGCCUCACGGGCCUGCACGGAGGACCUGGGCGGCCGUCCAGGAACCCUCUCGGCACGGGUUCUUAGACGCCUGUCUCCACUGGGGCCGGAGGGACAGGACUAGGCUAGUUUUAUUCUACUACUUGCUUCUAGGCCAGCCCCGUGGAGGGGGUCGGGGCGGCCAGGCCUCCUGCGAUCAGGGCUGCGUGGGGUCCAUCUCAGGUGUGGCCGCAGGUGAUGCCGGCAGGCCCUGGAAGAUGUGGCUGCACCUGCUCCCGUCCGUGCCGCAGAGGAGGACGCAGUCAUCUUUCAGAAGCCUCCCCCCGACCCCAUGACAUCUUCGAUUUCCACUUGCCGCUGGGAGGAGUGGCCCAUCCUGCGUCUAAGGCAUCUCCCGGCCUCAGACAGCCGUCCUGGGUUGCACGGGGGUGGAAAAGCAAAAAGAUCGGGUUCGAGCGACAGGGUAACGUUUUGAGCGGACGUUUUGAUCUCCGGGACAACGUCUCACCUCCCAGAGUCCUUCAGAGUCACUCCAAGAUCAUGGAACAAUUUUGUACACACAGCAGCACAGGGUAGCCCCACCCGCCCUGCCGCGGCUCCCCAGCCUGCAUUUUCUGUUUGAAAAACGUCUAUGGUGGAUGCCAGAGGGUAGGACAACCUGGAAGAGCCAAGGAUGGUCAAAGCCUCUCCCAGCCACGCGGAUGCCUCAUGCUUAAAACACACUGGGCGCAGUGGCUCACGCCUGUAAUCCCAGCAGGUUGGGAGGCCGAGGUGGGUGGAUCACGAGGUCAGGAGUUCGAGACCAGCCUGGCCAAGAUGGUGAAACCCCGUCUCUACUAAAAAUACAAAAAACAAAAAAAUUAGCCUGGCAUGGUGGUGGGCACCUGUAAUCCCAGCUACUCAGGAGGCUGAGGCAGGAGAAUCGCUUGAACC